RNAcentral lists this unclassified non-coding RNA (184 nucleotides) under Bordetella holmesii. RNAcentral describes it as "partial 16S-23S ribosomal RNA intergenic spacer". The stretch from base 73 to 146 matches the Rfam family "tRNA". Lineage: Bacteria; Pseudomonadati; Pseudomonadota; Betaproteobacteria; Burkholderiales; Alcaligenaceae. The record is from RNAcentral.
GUCCACGCUUAUCGGUUGUUGUUAUAUAGCUGCUGGAUCGGUGGCUGCUGAUCCGAGAGAGAAAGGUUUCGCGGGUCUGUAGCUCAGUCGGUUAGAGCACCGUCUUGAUAAGGCGGGGGUCGUUGGUUCGAAUCCAACCAGACCCACCAAGGUUUCCUGAGAGGGAAAUGGGGGUGUAGCUCAG